AUGCUGAGUUUUACAGGAUUGCUCAAAUCAACCUCAGGAGUACCUUCUCUUUUUUGGAUGAAUACACUAUCAAGUUGUAUCGAUCAUGUGGUGGGCAAUAUGGAGGACCCUCCUGGACCAACUGGACAAUCAAAAGUCUAAUGUGCUCGCUCAAAGGAAGGCUACAGCUCUGAAAGGUCUACUUUGUUUAUGAGGGAAAAGUUCCGGAAGGCUUACCUAAUCACAGAGCCAGAAGAUAUUUGCACAAAUAAGAUGGAGAUGGACAUCUUUAGCAUUGUUGAAGAUGAUGUUGCCACUGUUCAGACCAACCCAAAUAUAAGGUGCCAGUCUGUGGUUCUGGAAGAGCAAAUCGACAGCUGUCAUUCUCCUCUUUGGUUUGAUUUAUUUCGUCAAUAUGAACUACCCCAAAGAACUGAAACACACCUUUGAAACUAUUCAGAAAGUGUGUAUUGGCCUUGACCCUUAGUGCUCAGCUAGAGUCCAAUCUUUCAAAAGCAAAAUGUAUUUGUUUGUACACUGAAAUCCUGUUACUCUUGGUGUUGUCACAAUACUUAAAUUCAGUUUUGUUUAUUUACAUUUUCAAAUUUUAAAAACAUCCAUUUCCCGCUAAUUGAUAGAUUGGCUGUUGUGUUCAAGUGCUCAACAAAAAUGACUGUGAUUGGCCGAGAAGUUCAUCAUUUCACUGCUCUUCGCUGAUGUUCAUGGAGUGCAAACACAGAUACACACACACACACACUGGAGUGUUUCAAAACUGUGCCGAUCAGUCAGCGUAACACUUGUAUGUCAGCUUAUACACAGACCAGUUGAUAAAUGUGAAAUGCUUAAGUGUCCUUGUAGCUGUGGUUACAGUCAGUAAACAGCAGUGAGUCCGGUGAACUGAUGUCCUUCAAGCCCAGUUUUUUUUUUCGUUUGAGCAUGUGAACACAAUGGCAAAUUAACAGUGUAUAAAAACAUGCUCAACAGCGCUCAAAUGUUAGCAGGAAAUAGACGUUUUUAAAAUUUCAGAACCGAUGGGUAACAAAAUUAAAGUAUCAUGACAACACUAACUACUCUUGCACUUUGAAAAAAAGUGUUGAUAGUGCUAGCACUUUAAAUAUUUUUUUUGUUUUACUCGAGCACUUAAAAGGCAUUACAGGAUUUGAGGAUUGAAUUUUUUCCUCCUCUUUUUCUUCUUUGGACUGCAUUUCAU
Danio aesculapii is the source of this 1189-nucleotide long non-coding RNA. RefSeq lists it as uncharacterized. Lineage: Eukaryota; Metazoa; Chordata; Actinopteri; Cypriniformes; Danionidae. The record is from RefSeq and is a predicted model, not a curated record. The transcript is spliced from 3 exons.